RNAcentral lists this ribosomal RNA (506 nucleotides) under uncultured bacterium. Its description in RNAcentral is "partial 16S ribosomal RNA". It matches the Rfam family "Bacterial small subunit ribosomal RNA", at positions 29 to 523 of the family's 1533-position model. The record is from RNAcentral.
AGUGAACGCUGGCGGUAGGCCUAACACAUGCAAGUCGAACGGCAGCACAGAGGAGCUUGCUCCUUGGGUGGCGAGUGGCGGACGGGUGAGGAAUACAUCGGAAUCUGCUCUGUCGUGGGGGAUAACGUAGGGAAACUUACGCUAAUACCGCAUACGACCUACGGGUGAAAGCAGGGGAUCUUCUGACCUUGCGCGAUUGAAUGAGCCGAUGUCGGAUUAGCUAGUUGGCGGGGUAAAGGCCCACAAAGGCGACGAUCGGUAGCUGGGCUGAGAGGAUGAACAGCCGCACUGGAAAUGAGACACGGUCCAGACUCCUACGGGAGGCAGCAGUGGGGAAUAUUGGACAAUGGGCGCAAGCCUGAUCCAGCCAUACCGCGUGGGUGAAGAAGGCCUUCGGGUUGUAAAGCCCUUUUGUUGGGAAAGAAAUCCAUCUGGUUAAUACCCGGGUGGGAUGACGGUACCCAAAGAAUAAGCACCGGCUAACUUCGUGCCAGCAGCCGCGGUAA